RNAcentral lists this non-coding RNA (27 nucleotides) under Homo sapiens (human). The record is from RNAcentral. Lineage: Eukaryota; Metazoa; Chordata; Mammalia; Primates; Hominidae.
UAGCCACCCUGUUUAUCUCUUGCUUGC